RNAcentral lists this ribosomal RNA (449 nucleotides) under uncultured bacterium. Its description in RNAcentral is "partial 16S ribosomal RNA". It matches the Rfam family "Bacterial small subunit ribosomal RNA", at positions 29 to 523 of the family's 1533-position model. The record is from RNAcentral.
AACGAACGCUGGCGGCAUGCCUAACACAUGCAAGUCGAACGAGAUCUUCGGGUCUAGUGGCGCACGGGUGCGUAACGCGUGGGAAUCUGCCCUUUGGUUCGGAAUAACAGUUGGAAACGACUGCUAAUACCGGAUGAUGACGAAAGUCCAAAGAUUUAUCGCCAGAGGAUGAGCCCGCGUAGGAUUAGCUAGUUGGUGUGAUAAAGGCGCACCAAGGCGACGAUCCUUAGCUGGUCUGAGAGGAUGAUCAGCCACACUGGGACUGAGACACGGCCCAGACUCCUACGGGAGGCAGCAGCGGGGAAUAUUGGACAAUGGGCGAAAGCCUGAUCCAGCAAUGCCGCGUGAGUGAUGAAGGCCUUAGGGUUGUAAAGCUCUUUUACCCGGGAUGAUAAUGACAGUACCGGGAGAAUAAGCUCCGGCUAACUCCGUGCCAGCCGCCGCAGUAA